RNAcentral lists this ribosomal RNA (254 nucleotides) under uncultured bacterium. RNAcentral describes it as "partial 16S ribosomal RNA". It matches the Rfam family "Bacterial small subunit ribosomal RNA", at positions 524 to 776 of the family's 1533-position model. The record is from RNAcentral.
AACGUAGGAGGCAAGCGUUAUCCGGAUUCACUGGGCGUAAAGCGUGCGUAGGCGGUUGGGUAAGUCGGAUGUAAAAGCCCCUGGCUCAACUGGGGGAGGUCAUUCGAUACUGCUCGGCUUGAGGAUGAGAGAGGAGAGCGGAAUUCCCGGUGUAGCGGUGGAAUGCGUAGAGAUCGGGAGGAACACCAGCGGCGAAAGCGGCUCUCUGGCUCAUAUCUGACGCUGAGUGCACGACAGCGUGGGGAGCAAACGGG